AUGACGGCCCGCCUCCGCCGCUCGCCGGCGGCGUCCCCGCUGGACGACGACGACCUGCUCUGCGAGAUCCUCCUACGCCUCCCCCCGCAGCCCUCCUCCCUCCCGCGCGCCUCCCUCGUCUGCAAGCGCUGGCGCCGCCUCGUCUCCGACACCGGAUUCUCCCGCCGCUUCCGCCUCCGCCACCGCCGCAACCCUCCUCUCCUCGGCUUCUUCGACAGGGACCUCUCCUUCUCACCUACUCUGGAGGCCCCCAACCGUGUCCCUCCCGGCCGCUUCUCCUUGCAGCGCGACGACGACGACGACGACCGCUUUGUGCCCCUUGGAUGCCGCCAUGGCCUCGUGCUCAUCUACAUUCCUGCGCGUCUUCAGAUCCUGGUGUGGGACCCCGUCACCGCCGACCAGCACUACAUCGCCAUUCCCCCUGCGGUUGCGGCAUGCCCGGGGAAGGCUCGGAUCAACGGGGCGGUGUUUCGCGCUGCGGGAGACGUCCAGCACUUCCAGGUGGUCUCGGUAAUGGCAUAUGGUGAUGACCAUCAACAUAGACGAGCGCUCGCCUGCGUUUACUCGUCGAAGACCGGCUUAUGGGGAGAUCCCAUCUCAACACCCCUUCCAUACCGGGCAGUCCAGGCUGAUGCAAUCAGUGUUCCUACUCUCGUUUUUGCGGAUGACGCUGUGCUGGCUGGAGAUUCCCUUCACUGGCUGCUUGCUGGGAAUUUCAAUGGCAUUCUCGAGUUCGAUUUGGAGAAGCAGAGGCUAGCUGUGAUACGGCUGCCAGAGGAGGUCAACUGCUUGAAGCUUGUGCGGGCAGAGGGUGGUGGGCUUGGUCUCCUCGGGAGGUCAGUCACAAACUGCAUGACCCAGUUAUGGAAGAGGGAGUCCAAUUGUGAUGGUGUUGCUCCAUGGGUGCUAGGAAGGACUAUUGAUCUGGACAGGAUACUUUCCGUGAAACCAGAGCUGAAAGGGACCUUUGCAGGGGCCACUGCAAUAUUAGGGCUUGCAGAAGACAAUAAUUUGUUGUUGCUUUGGACAAUUACCGGCCUCGUCGUGAUCCAUCUUGAGUCGUUGAAGUUCAAGAAGCUUUUCAGAACUAAUACGUUUUUUCAGUAUCAUGCUUUCGAAGGUGUCUACACUGCUGCAGAAACUGACAUCGCUGGUGGACAUGAUGGAGCUAAUCUUUGGCACAGUACAUAA
RNAcentral lists this ribosomal RNA (1191 nucleotides) under Triticum aestivum (bread wheat). RNAcentral's name for it is "partial small subunit ribosomal RNA". The record is from RNAcentral. Lineage: Eukaryota; Viridiplantae; Streptophyta; Magnoliopsida; Poales; Poaceae.